This 247-nucleotide ribosomal RNA is filed under the name uncultured Bdellovibrio sp. RNAcentral describes it as "partial 16S ribosomal RNA". It matches the Rfam family "Bacterial small subunit ribosomal RNA", at positions 210 to 456 of the family's 1533-position model. The record is from RNAcentral. Lineage: Bacteria; Pseudomonadati; Bdellovibrionota; Bdellovibrionia; Bdellovibrionales; Pseudobdellovibrionaceae.
GUUUUUCGCUUGAGGAUGAGCCCAUACGGGAUUAGCUAGUUGGUGAGGUAAUGGCUCACCAAGGCUACGAUCCCUAACUGGUCUUAGAGGAUGAUCAGUCACACUGGAACUGAGACACGGUCCAGACUCCUACGGGAGGCAGCAGAAGGGAAUAUUGCACAAUGGGGGAAACCCUGAUGCAGCGACGCCGCGUGAGUGAUGAAGGCCUUCGGGUCGUAAAGCUCUGUCGUACGGGACUAAGAAAGUG